Long non-coding RNA from Rhincodon typus (whale shark), 687 nucleotides. RefSeq lists it as uncharacterized. Lineage: Eukaryota; Metazoa; Chordata; Chondrichthyes; Orectolobiformes; Rhincodontidae. The transcript is spliced from 2 exons. The record is from RefSeq and is a predicted model, not a curated record.
AUGUCAGCAGGCCUAUUAGUGGAAGUUGGUUUCUUUGCAGGUAGUUAUUGGUGUGCUGUGAUAGUGGCUUUUUUGGACUGGAGAUUCAGGAGGGAGUUGGUUCUGGAAGGGAUGAAUGUGUUGAUGGGUAAAAGUCAUGACUUCCAAAUUGUCUUGGAUUUUGUACAAGAAAAGACCCAAGUUCACAUGAUCAAUGGACAACCAUCACUUUAGACAACAGCAUCUCAUCAUUGCAAAACAAAUAAGGGUUGAAACUUCCUUGUGGUCUGGAAUUUUGUUCACCCUAUCUGUUUUUCCAUCAAUCUGUUAAACUGUAUCUUAAUCACUGUACACUUUGUUUUGAAAAGAUGCAGUUUAUAAAGUUACAUAAAUUAGAACUAUUUAAUUUACUGAUCUUGUGAUUCAAUAAAUAACUCUUUACUAUCCCUCACUGCUCUUGUAUCAGUAACUAUUACCUGAUUACUGUUAAUGUCUUUAGGCAGCAGGAAGGCUUGUAAUGGAGUCAGUACUAGGAUUGUUAUUUUUCUAAUUAUAAACUGUUUAUGCAAGGGGCAACAAAGCUCUAAAGAUCUUCAAUAGGAUGUUGACACCCCAGAUGAAUGGGUGGCACAUGAUCCUCAAUACAGAAGUGAGAUGAUGCUUAAAGUACACGAGUACAAAAAGGGUAUUAGAGCAAAUGAACAGAGA